This 502-nucleotide ribosomal RNA is filed under the name Arabidopsis thaliana (thale cress). The record is from RNAcentral. Lineage: Eukaryota; Viridiplantae; Streptophyta; Magnoliopsida; Brassicales; Brassicaceae.
CGUGAUUUGGGCUAUAUUACGGGGCGAAAAUUAUAUGUUCGGACAUUGUUUUCGAAUAUUUAGCAUGUAUCAAAGCUCUUACAAACAGAAAGGGUAUUCCUACAUAGAUGGUGGGACCCACGGCAAAUGGAUCAUAAAAUCUUCAAAAAAGAAUAGAUACGAUUGCAUUGCAUUUAGUAACAAAUGCGAUCAUACCAGCACUAAUGGACCGGAUCCCAUUUGAACGCCGCAGUUAAGCGUGCUUGGGCAAGAGUAGUACUAGGAUGGGUGACCUCCAGGAAAGUCCUCGUGUUGCAUCCCUCUUUUUUUCGGCUUUUCUCUUUUUCUUUUGUCAAAAAUGUAUGACUCUAGAACUUUUAGACCGUGAUGCCAAACACUUGGCAUGUGAUACCUUUUCGGAAAGCCUAAAGAGAGUUCUCUGAUGAAUGAGGAAGAAAGAUGGAAUUCUUCUAUUGUUUUUUUUUUCUACUCCAACUUUUGACCUUUACGUACUUUUUCGGGA